ACUCAAAGGAAUAGACGGGGGCCCGCACAAGCAGCGGAGCGUGUGGUUUAAUUCGAGGCUACACGAAGAACCUUACCUGGGUUUGACAUACAAGUGGUAGUGAACCGAAAGGGGAACGACCUUCGGGAGCUUGAACAGGUGCUGCAUGGCUGUCGUCAGCUCGUGCCGUGAGGUGUUCGGUUAAGUCCGCAAACGAGCGCAACCCCUGGGACUAGUUACACGUGUCUAGUCCGACUGCCCGUGAGAAACGGGAGGAAGGUGGGGAUGAUGUCAAGUCAGCAUGGCCUUUAUAUCCAGGGCUACACACACGCUACAAUGGGCGGUACAAUGGGUCGCGAAGCCGCGAGGCGGAGCCAAUCCUGAAAGCCGUUCGUAGUUCGGAUUGCAGGCUGCAACUCGCCUGCAUGAAGUCGGAGUUGCUAGUAACCGCAGGUCAGCUAUACUGCGGUGAAUACGUUCCCGGGCCUUGCACACACCGCCCGU
This 483-nucleotide ribosomal RNA is filed under the name uncultured bacterium. RNAcentral describes it as "partial 16S ribosomal RNA". It matches the Rfam family "Bacterial small subunit ribosomal RNA", at positions 899 to 1397 of the family's 1533-position model. The record is from RNAcentral.